GAUGAACGCUGGCGGCGUGCCUAAUACAUGCAAGUCGAGCGAACAGACGAGGAGCUUGCUCCUCUGACGUUAGCGGCGGACGGGUGAGUAACACGUGGAUAACCUACCUAUAAGACUGGGAUAACUUCGGGAAACCGGAGCUAAUACCGGAUAAUAUAUUGCACCGCAUGGUUCAAUAGUGAAAGACGGUUUUGCUGUCACUUAUAGAUGGUUUCGCGACGCAUUAGCUAGUUGGUAAGGUAACGGCUUACCCAGGCAACGAAGCGUAGCCGACCUGAGAGGGUGAUCGGCCACACUGGAACUGCGACACGGUCCAGACUCCAGCGGGAGGCAGCAGUAGGGAAUCUUCCGCAAAGGGCGAAAGCCUGACGGAGCAACGCCGCGUGAGUGAUGAAGGUCUUCGGAUCGUAAAACUCUGUUAUUAGGGAAGAACAAAUGUGUAAGUAACUAUGCACGUCUUGACGGUACCUAAUCAGAAAGCCACGGCUAACUACGUG
RNAcentral lists this ribosomal RNA (497 nucleotides) under uncultured bacterium. Its description in RNAcentral is "partial 16S ribosomal RNA". It matches the Rfam family "Bacterial small subunit ribosomal RNA", at positions 28 to 507 of the family's 1533-position model. The record is from RNAcentral.